AUACGGAGGGUGCGAGCGUUAAUCGGAAUUACUGGGCGUAAAGCGCGCGUAGGCGGUUUGUUAAGUCGGAUGUGAAAUCCCCGGGCUCAACCUGGGACCUGCAUCCGAUACUGGCAGGCUAGAGUCUGGUAGAGGGGGGUAGAAUUCCUGGUGUAGCGGUGAAAUGCGUAGAUAUCAGGAGGAAUACCAGUGGCGAAGGCGGCCCCCUGGACUGAGACUGACGUUGAGGUGCGAAAGCGUGGGGAGCAAACAGGAUUAGAAACCCUAGUAGUCC
This 274-nucleotide ribosomal RNA is filed under the name uncultured bacterium. Its description in RNAcentral is "partial 16S ribosomal RNA". It matches the Rfam family "Bacterial small subunit ribosomal RNA", at positions 523 to 796 of the family's 1533-position model. The record is from RNAcentral.